GACGAACGCUGGCGGCGUGCCUAAUACAUGCCAGUCGAACGAGAGCGACCGGUGCUUGCACUGGUCAAUCUAGUGGCGAACGGGUGAGUAACACGUGGGUAACCUGCCCAUCAGAGGGGGAUAACAUCCGGAAACGGAUGCUAAAACCGCAUAGGUCUUCGAACCGCAUGGUUUGAAGAGGAAAAGAGGCGCAGGCUUCUGCUGAUGGAUGGACCCGCGGUGCAUUAGCUAGUUGGUGAGGUAACGGCUCACCAAGGCCGUGAUGCAUAGCCGACCUGAGAGGGUGAUCGGCCACAUUGGGACUGAGACACGGCCCAAACUCCUACGGGAGGCAGCAGUAGGGAAUCUUCCGCAAUGGACGCAAGUCUGACGGAGCAACGCCGCGUGAGUGAAGAAGGUUUUCGGAUCGUAAAACUCUGUUGUUAGAGAAGAACAAGUGCUAGAGUAACUGUUAGCGCCUUGACGGUAUCUAACCAGAAAGCCACGGCUAACUACGUG
This 498-nucleotide ribosomal RNA is filed under the name uncultured bacterium. RNAcentral describes it as "partial 16S ribosomal RNA". It matches the Rfam family "Bacterial small subunit ribosomal RNA", at positions 28 to 507 of the family's 1533-position model. The record is from RNAcentral.